UUCACUUAUUAUGUUGUCUUCCAGUAUAUCUUCCGUCCUAUAGCACUUCACUACUAAUCUGUUCCCAUUUGUGAAUGAAUCUUCCGAUGCAUUAUCAAAAAUUGCAGCAGAUACCAGUGAUCUCACAGGAAUUCAAUCACUUUUAGAAGCUAUCCUGGUUGAACUACACAAAGCAAAUGACCUGAGUCAAAAAAGCAGCUACUUACUGGCCAAGCCCCAGAGUGGCAAUGUCGUUGAAUGCUGCUUCAGUGCUGAGGCUGUGCAACAGGUUCUGAAAAAGUCAACAUCUUCAAUAGCAGAGGAAAUUCACCGUAUG
Molecule: long non-coding RNA, 316 nt
Organism: Hypanus sabinus (Atlantic stingray)
Lineage: Eukaryota; Metazoa; Chordata; Chondrichthyes; Myliobatiformes; Dasyatidae
Exons: 3
Source: RefSeq, a predicted model, not a curated record